This 404-nucleotide long non-coding RNA is filed under the name Ananas comosus (pineapple). RNAcentral's name for it is "long non-coding RNA (ACOM_LNC027408)". Lineage: Eukaryota; Viridiplantae; Streptophyta; Magnoliopsida; Poales; Bromeliaceae. The record is from RNAcentral.
UUCUAAUAAAUUACAGAACCAUUAAAAAAGUGAUUUAGAAAAAAAAUUUUGGAUGGAUGAGAAACGAAGCGGAUAGCGUGCUACCUAUCUCUCUCAAAAAAAAAGAACUUUUUUUGGAUGUUCUUGAUGCCAUUGGUACUUACUAGAUUUUCAUUAGAGUUCGCAGUCGAUAAAUUUAUAUCUAUAUACUAUCUAGUAAAGUGUCAGCGAUCAUUACAACAUGUAUUAGAGAAAAACCGACCGUCCCUAGCGCAAGUGGCAAAGAGCUUGGUGGUUAGUACCCGAGGUCCCAAGUUCGAAUCCUAGUUGAUUCAUAUUUUCCAGCUAAGUUUAUUUCUAAAUGAAAUAAACGAAACGGGUACGUAGCGUGCUACCUAUUUCUCAAAAAAAAAAAAAAAAAAAAA